Molecule: long non-coding RNA, 297 nt
Filed under: Elaeis guineensis (African oil palm)
Lineage: Eukaryota; Viridiplantae; Streptophyta; Magnoliopsida; Arecales; Arecaceae
Description: long non-coding RNA (EGUI_LNC050542)
Source: RNAcentral
AUUAGAGACAAGAUAUUAUUCUUGAAUGAGUAGACAGAAAGAACAAUAUAACAGAUCCAUUCACUAAGGCCAUACCAAAGCAGCUAUAUAAUUGCCAUCUUGAUUGUAUGAGAUAUAAAGGCGAUUUGCUUUAGUGCAAGUGGGAGAUUGAAAGAAGAGUGCCCUAUAAGCUAAUCGUAAGUGUGUUGCGAUGGAACUUUUCUUUAUAAUUUUUCAACUCAUGAAAUAAUAUUUAUUAUUUGAGGUAUUGAUUAAUCAUAUUAGCUGCAUCUUAUUAUGUCUAAUAUUAUGAUGAAC